Dipodomys ordii (Ord's kangaroo rat) is the source of this 70-nucleotide non-coding RNA. Lineage: Eukaryota; Metazoa; Chordata; Mammalia; Rodentia; Heteromyidae. The record is from Rfam.
GGGAAGGUAGCUCAGUGGUAGAGCGCUUGUCUUGCAUGCAUGAGGCCCUGGGUUCGAAUCCUCAGCGCCA